CAAAGACAAUGACUGUACUAAAACUGGCGUUACUGAUUGGUGCAUACGGCUCUUUAAUCCUAAUACCUAUUUCUAAAGGGGCAUUCAUAUUUCAUAGAGGCGAAUGUCCAGAUGGACACAAGGAAGGCGAUACUUGGCCCCCCAUGGGUGGUUACUGUGAAGGAUGUUCCUGCUUUGCCAAUGGCUGGGUUGUGGAUCGUGUUCACCAUAUGUCAUAAUGGAGAACUGUUACCACGAAACUAACACAACUGCACCAUAUCCCGAUUGUUGUCCAUCACUUGUCUGUAAAGAUGAUCCACAUUUCAACCCAUCCAAAAUCGAACUUGUCGGCAGAUAAGUAAAGAUAUACACCAGUGCAAAUAGACUCUUUUUUAAAAAACACUAGUAAGCUCCAUGAGUGUGUUUUAACACAAGUAUCGACGUGAAAUAAAACAUUAUUGCUUUCACAAUAAAAGAUAUUCUUGUCAAACUUCAAA
This is a long non-coding RNA of Magallana angulata, 476 nucleotides long. RefSeq lists it as uncharacterized. NCBI's taxonomy places the organism in Eukaryota, Metazoa, Mollusca, Bivalvia, Ostreida, Ostreidae. The transcript has 3 exons. The record is from RefSeq and is a predicted model, not a curated record.